CGCUAAGAAGCUAAACAGAAAACAGCAUUAGCCUUUUAAGCUAAAGAUUGGUGACUCUCGACCACCCUUAACGA
This 74-nucleotide transfer RNA is filed under the name Liparis agassizii. Its description in RNAcentral is "tRNA-Lys". It matches the Rfam family "tRNA". From Rfam's summary of the family: Transfer RNA (tRNA) molecules are approximately 80 nucleotides in length. Their secondary structure includes four short double-helical elements and three loops (D, anti-codon, and T loops). RNAcentral also lists the same sequence under 3 other names. The record is from RNAcentral. Lineage: Eukaryota; Metazoa; Chordata; Actinopteri; Perciformes; Liparidae.